RNAcentral lists this non-coding RNA (23 nucleotides) under Arabidopsis thaliana (thale cress). Lineage: Eukaryota; Viridiplantae; Streptophyta; Magnoliopsida; Brassicales; Brassicaceae. The record is from RNAcentral.
AGUGACCAAAGAAGAAAAGUGCA